This 117-nucleotide ribosomal RNA is filed under the name Sinocyclocheilus grahami. Lineage: Eukaryota; Metazoa; Chordata; Actinopteri; Cypriniformes; Cyprinidae. The record is from RNAcentral.
CGCCACAGCCAUAUCGCCCUGCAGCCCAAGAUUGGUCACCCACUGAAGCUAAGCAGGGUUGAGCCUGGUCAGUACUUGGAUGGGAGACCUCCUGGGAAAACUAGGUUGCUGUUGGAA